GAACGCCGUGUGCGAUGAAAGUCGCCUGCACGGUGUAGGCUCGUUAUAAACCAUAGAGAGAUAUAGGGAUAAGACGAGAAUAGCGAACCAAAUAUCAGCAUCUAUCAUCUUUAU
Molecule: non-coding RNA, 114 nt
Organism: Brevibacillus parabrevis
Lineage: Bacteria; Bacillati; Bacillota; Bacilli; Caryophanales; Paenibacillaceae
Source: Rfam